This 512-nucleotide ribosomal RNA is filed under the name uncultured bacterium. Its description in RNAcentral is "bacterial SSU rRNA". It matches the Rfam family "Bacterial small subunit ribosomal RNA", at positions 28 to 526 of the family's 1533-position model. The record is from RNAcentral.
GACGAACGCUGGCGGCGUGCUUAACACAUGCAAGUGGAGCGACGAACCAGGGCUUGCCCUGGGGCAAAGCCGCGAACGGGUGAGUAACACGUGGGUAACCUGCCCCAAUGACCGGGACAACCCGAGGAAACUCGAGCUAAUACCGGAUGUGCUUGCACCCCUUGAGGGGUGUCAGGAAAGGAAGCUUCGGCCUCCGCAUUGGGAUGGGCCCGCGGCCCAUUAGCUUGUUGGUGGGGUAACGGCCUACCAAGGCUUCGAUGGGUAGCUGGUCUGAGAGGACGAUCAGCCACACUGGGACUGAGACACGGCCCAGACUCCUACGGGAGGCAGCAGUGGGGAAUCUUGCGCAAUGCGCGAAAGCGUGACGCAGCAACGCCGCGUGCGGGAAGACGGCCUUCGGGUUGUAAACCGCUUUCAGUUGGGACGAAGCUUCGACCGUUAAUAGCGGUUUGGAGUGACGGUACCUUCACAAGAAGCCCCGGCUAACUACGUGCCAGCCGCCGCCGUAAAAC